GACGAACGCUGGCGGCGUGCCUAAUGCAUGCAAGUCGAGCGACGAAUAGGUGCGGGUAACCAAGCCUAUUACGGAGCGGCGAACGGGUGAGUAACACGUGAGCAACCUGCCCCGAAGACC
This 120-nucleotide ribosomal RNA is filed under the name uncultured bacterium. Its description in RNAcentral is "partial 16S ribosomal RNA". It matches the Rfam family "Bacterial small subunit ribosomal RNA", at positions 28 to 139 of the family's 1533-position model. The record is from RNAcentral.